RNAcentral lists this ribosomal RNA (221 nucleotides) under uncultured bacterium. RNAcentral's name for it is "partial 16S ribosomal RNA". It matches the Rfam family "Bacterial small subunit ribosomal RNA", at positions 1277 to 1500 of the family's 1533-position model. The record is from RNAcentral.
UAAACGUCUCAGUUCGGAUUGUAGUCUGCAACUCGACUACAUGAAGCUGGAAUCGCUAGUAAUCGCGAAUCAGAAUGUCGCGGUGAAUACGUUCCCGGGUCUUGUACACACCGCCCGUCACACCAUGGGAGUCAGCAACGCCCGAAGCCGGUGACCCAACCGAAAGGAGGGAGCCGUCGAAGGUGGGGCCGAUAACUGGGGUGAAGUCGUAACAAGGUAAC